AUUGAACGCUGGCGGCAGGCCUAACACAUGCAAGUCGAGCGGAUGAAGGGAGCUUGCUCCUGGAUUCAGCGGCGGACGGGUGAGUAAUGCCUAGGAAUCUGCCUGGUAGUGGGGGAUAACGUCCGGAAACGGGCGCUAAUACCGCAUACGUCCUGAGGGAGAAAGUGGGGGAUCUUCGGACCUCACGCUAUCAGAUGAGCCUAGGUCGGAUUAGCUAGCUGGUGGGGUAAAGGCCUACCAAGGCGACGAUCCGUAACUGGUCUGAGAGGAUGAUCAGUCACACUGGAACUGAGACACGGUCCAGACUCCUAAGGGAGGCAGCAGGGGGGAAUAUUGGACAAUGGGCGGAAGCCUGAUCCAGCCAUGGCGCGUGUGUGAAGGAGGUCUUCGGAUUGUAAAGCACUUUAAGUUGGGAGGAAGGGCAGUAAGUUAAUACCUUGCUGUUUUGACGUUACCAACAGAAUAAGCACCGGCUAACUUCGUG
This 484-nucleotide ribosomal RNA is filed under the name uncultured bacterium. Its description in RNAcentral is "partial 16S ribosomal RNA". It matches the Rfam family "Bacterial small subunit ribosomal RNA", at positions 30 to 507 of the family's 1533-position model. The record is from RNAcentral.